UACGGAGGGGGCUAGCGUUGUUCGGAAUUACUGGGCGUAAAGCGCGCGUAGGCGGACCUGCAAGUCGGGGGUGAAAGCCCGAGGCUCAACCUCGGAACUGCCUUCGAUACUGCGGGUCUCGAGUCCGGGAGAGGUGAGUGGAAUUCCUAGUGUAGAGGUGAAAUUCGUAGAUAUUAGGAAGAACACCAGUGGCGAAGGCGGCUCACUGGCCCAUUACUGACGCUGAGGCACGAAAGCGUGGGGAGCAAACAGG
Molecule: ribosomal RNA, 253 nt
Filed under: uncultured bacterium
Lineage: Bacteria
Description: partial 16S ribosomal RNA
Rfam family: Bacterial small subunit ribosomal RNA
Source: RNAcentral